RNAcentral lists this ribosomal RNA (318 nucleotides) under uncultured fungus. RNAcentral describes it as "eukaryotic LSU rRNA". It matches the Rfam family "Eukaryotic large subunit ribosomal RNA", at positions 1 to 311 of the family's 3401-position model. Lineage: Eukaryota; Fungi. The record is from RNAcentral.
UUGACCUCGGAUCAUGGCAGGGAUACCCGCUGAACUUAAGCAUAUACAAUAAGCGGAGGAAAAGAAACCAACAGGGAUUGCCUCAGUAACGGCGAGUGAAGCGGCAACAGCUCAAAUUUGAAAUCAUGGCUCUUUCAGGGUCCGAGUAGUAAUUUGUAGAGGAUGCUACGGCGUGGGCGUCCGGUCUAAGUUCCUUGGAACAGGACGUCAUAGAGGGUGAGAAUCCCGUAUGUGAUCGGCUGCCUUUGCCAUGUGAAGCUCCUUCCAUGAGUCGAGUCGUCUGGGAAUGCAGCUCUAAAUGGGAUGUAAAUUUCUACU